AUUGAACGCUGGCGGCAGGCCUAACACAUGCAAGUCGAGCGGAUGAAGGGAGCUUGCUCCUGGAUUCAGCGGCGGACGGGUGAGUAAUGCCUAGGAAUCUGCCUGGUAGUGGGGGAUAACGUCCGGAAACGGGCGCUAAUACCGCAUACGUCCUGAGGGAGAAAGUGGGGGAUCUUCGGACCUCACGCUAUCAGAUGAGCCUAGGUCGGAUUAGCUAGUUGGUGGGGUAAAGGCCUACCAAGGCGACGAUCCGUAACUGGUCUGAGAGGAUGAUCAGUCACACUGGAACUGAGACACGGUCCAGACUCCUACGGGAGGCAGCAGUGGGGAAUAUUGGACAAUGGGCGAAAGCCGGAUCCAGCCAUGCCGCGUGUGUGAAGAAGGUCUUCGGAUUGUAAAGCACUUUAAGUUGGGAGGAAGGGCAGUAAGUUAAUACCUU
RNAcentral lists this ribosomal RNA (439 nucleotides) under Pseudomonas aeruginosa. Its description in RNAcentral is "bacterial SSU rRNA". It matches the Rfam family "Bacterial small subunit ribosomal RNA", at positions 30 to 470 of the family's 1533-position model. Lineage: Bacteria; Pseudomonadati; Pseudomonadota; Gammaproteobacteria; Pseudomonadales; Pseudomonadaceae. The record is from RNAcentral.